GUAUUUAUCUUCCCAUGGACGCAAUUCUGCGGAGCAAUGCCGCGUGAGUGACGAAGGUUUUCGGAUCGUAAAACUCUGUUGUGAGGGAAGAACAAGUACCAAGUAACUACUGGUACCUUGACGGUACCUCACCAGAAAGCCACAGGCUAACUACGUGCCAGCAGCCGCUGGUAAUACGUAGGUGGCAAGCNGUUGUCCGGAAUUAUUGGGCGUAAAGCGCGCGCAGGCGNUUNNUUAAGUCUGAUGUGAAAGCCCACGGCUCAACCGUGGAGGGUCAUUGGAAACUGGGGGACUUGAGUGCAGAAGAGGAAAGUGGAAUUCCAUGUGUAGCGGUGAAAUGCGUAGAGAUGUGGAGGAACACCAGUGGCGAAGGCGACUUUCUGGUCUGUAACUGACGCUGAGGCGCGAAAGCGUGGGGAGCAAACAGGAUUAGAUACCCUGGUAGUCCACGCCGUAAACGAUGAGUGCCAAGUGUUAGGGGGGUUUCCGCCCCUUAGUGCUGCAGCUAACGCAUUAAGCACUCCGCCUGGGGAGUACGGGCCGNAAGGCUGAAACUCAAAGGAAUUGACGGGGGCCCGCACAGCGGNGGAGCAUGUGGNUUAAUU
RNAcentral lists this ribosomal RNA (605 nucleotides) under uncultured low G+C Gram-positive bacterium. RNAcentral describes it as "bacterial SSU rRNA". It matches the Rfam family "Bacterial small subunit ribosomal RNA", at positions 355 to 951 of the family's 1533-position model. Lineage: Bacteria; Bacillati; Bacillota. The record is from RNAcentral.